RNAcentral lists this ribosomal RNA (1015 nucleotides) under soil metagenome. RNAcentral describes it as "bacterial SSU rRNA". It matches the Rfam family "Bacterial small subunit ribosomal RNA", at positions 513 to 1520 of the family's 1533-position model. The record is from RNAcentral.
AGCCGCGGUAAUACGAGGGAUGCGAGCGUUAUUCGGAAUUAUUGGGCGUAAAGGGUCCGUAGACGGAAAAAAAAGUCUUUUUAUAGAUACUAUUUUUCUAUGAGAAUUAUAUAAAGGUAGAAGGAAUCUUUAAAGUAACGGUUAAAUGUUUUGAGAUUAAAGAGAACGCUAGAAGCGAAGGCUUUCUUACUAGAUAAAUUCUGACGUUGAGGGACGAAAGCUAAGGGAGCAAAUGGGAUUAGGUACCCCAGUAGUCUUAGCCGUAAACCAUGAGUACCUGCCUCCAAAUCAGUUUUGCGUAUAUAUUGUAAAUUAGUUUAUUUGAUUUUUUAUUAAGUAAAUUAAUUUACAAUAUAUAUAGUUUAUUAAAAACAAAGAUUUUUAAUAAUCAUUUAGGACAUGAAUAAAGGCAAAGUUUACGCAUAAAGUACUCCGCCUGGGGAUUGUGCUCGCAAGAGUUAAACUCAAAGGAAUUGACGGGGGCUCGCACAAGCGGUGGAGCAUGUGGUUUAAUUCGAUGUAGCGCGAAAAAACUUACCAGGGUUUGUAUAAAUAUGAAGUUGUUUUAUGUAAAUAAAAUAAUAUGUAUUUACGGGUGAUGCAUGGCUGUCGUCAGUUCGUGUUGUGAAAUGUUAGGUUCAUUCCUAAAACGAACGCAACCCUUAGUUUUUAUUAAUUGUAAUAAAAAAUUUCAGUUAAAUAACUGAAUGAAAAAGAGGAUGACGUCAAGUCCUUAUGUCCUUUAUACUCUGGGCUACACACGUGCUACAAUGAAUAAUACAAUAUGUCAAAAUUAUUUUUAGUUCGGAUUGUAAAUUGGAAUUCAUUUACAUGAAGUAGGAAUCGCUAGUAAUCGCAGGUUAGCAAUACUGCGGUGAAUACGUUCUCGAGCCCUGUACACACCGCCCGUCACACCAGGGAAAUUGAUUUUGGGCGAAGCCUUUUAGGAGGUGAGUUUGAUUUUAGUAACCAGGGUGAAGUCGUAACAAGGUAGCUGUACUGGAAGGUGCGGCUG